AGUGAACGCUGGCGGUAGGCCUAACACAUGCCAGUCGAACGGCAGCACAGUAAGAGCUUGCUCUUACGGGUGGCGAGUGGCGGACGGGUGAGGAAUACAUCGGAAUCUACUUUUUCGUGGGGGAUAACGUAGGGAAACUUACGCUAAUACCGCAUACGACCUACGGGUGAAAGCAGGGGAUCUUCGGACCUUGCGCGAAUGAAUGAGCCGAUGUCGGAUUAGCUAGUUGGGGGGGUAAAGGCCCACCAAGGCGACGAUCCGUAGCUGGUCUGAGAGGAUGGUCAGCCACACUGGAACGGAGACACGGUCCAGACUCCUACGGGAGGCAGCAGUGGGGAAUAUUGGACAAUGGGCGCAAGCCUGAUCCAGCCAUACCGCGUGGGUGAAGAAGGCCUUCGGGUUGUAAAGCCCUUUUGUUGGGAAAGAAAAGCAGCAGGUUAAUACCCCGCUGUUCUGACGGUACCCAAAGAAUAAGCACCGGCUAACUUCGUG
Molecule: ribosomal RNA, 492 nt
Filed under: uncultured bacterium
Lineage: Bacteria
Description: partial 16S ribosomal RNA
Rfam family: Bacterial small subunit ribosomal RNA
Source: RNAcentral